GGGUACCUACGGGGCGCAGCAGUCGGGAAUAUUGCACAAUGGAGGAAACUCUGAUGCAGUGACGCCGCGUGCAGGAAGAAGGUUUUCGGAUUGUAAACUGCUUUAGACAGGGAAGAAACAAGACAGUACCUGUAGAAUAAGCUCCGGCUAACUACGUGCCAGCAGCCGCGGUAAUACGUAGGGAGCAAGCGUUAUCCGGAUUUAUUGGGUGUAAAGGGUGCGUAGACGGGUAUAUAAGUUAGUUGUGAAAUCACUCGGCUCAACUGAGGAACUGCAACUAAAAAUGUAAAUCUUGAGAGAGGGAG
Molecule: ribosomal RNA, 305 nt
Filed under: uncultured bacterium
Lineage: Bacteria
Description: bacterial SSU rRNA
Rfam family: Bacterial small subunit ribosomal RNA
Source: RNAcentral